Ochotona curzoniae (black-lipped pika) is the source of this 760-nucleotide long non-coding RNA. RefSeq lists it as uncharacterized. The record is from RefSeq and is a predicted model, not a curated record. Lineage: Eukaryota; Metazoa; Chordata; Mammalia; Lagomorpha; Ochotonidae. The transcript has 4 exons.
AAGGGCGGGAAGCCCCCGGAGCUGCUUGACCAUGCAGGCUGAUAGAAUGGAAGCUCAUAGAAUGGCUGAUAGAAUGGAAGCCAUCCAAAUGGAUUAUGCUAGGAGGUGACAGGAUCAGAGUUGUAUUUGUAGAAAGUCACUACCCUCCGUUGUGUGAAAGGAUGUGGGCAAACCAGUGCCAGAUUGAGGUCAGUAGGGCCUCCCAACUUCCACCUGCAGUUGUUGCUGGAGAUGAGGGAAGAUCUCAGACUCAGGGGACAAUGGCCAGAUAAAAACCAACAGGACGCGCUGGGAGAGAGAGAGAAAUCAUCAAAAACAUCUUCGUGUGGCCAGUGCCUUUUCUUUGCUGAGAGGAUGAAUUCCAAUGCUUCAUAAAUUUGGAGGAAAAACUACCUCUUGGUAGUUUCUUCAUGGUGACUGGUCCUCAGCAGCACUUUGUCCCUUGGAGUCAGCAGAUGAAGACACACAGCAAUGAGAGAGCACAGGGUUUGUGGAGGAAAAACUGGAGAAGAGGUGGCUGUGGAGGAAGUGACCUCAAGGACAAGCUUCUGAGGGGAUGAAUGAUGUGCAGGAAAAGCCGGGAGAAGCAUUCACUUUCCUUCUGGAUGGGGAGACACAGGGGCUUAUGUCCCUCGGACUCCACAAUGCCACCACUCAUGAAUCUGAGAUUCUCCAUGACCCAGUCAAGCUGCCCGGGCUCUGCUUCACUACCAAUACUAACUUCCUGCUGAAAGCUGUGUCUAAGGGUAAGCGACCCCAA